This 255-nucleotide ribosomal RNA is filed under the name uncultured bacterium. RNAcentral's name for it is "partial 16S ribosomal RNA". It matches the Rfam family "Bacterial small subunit ribosomal RNA", at positions 524 to 776 of the family's 1533-position model. The record is from RNAcentral.
UACGUAGGGUGCGAGCGUUGUCCGGAAUUAUUGGGCGUAAAGGGCUCGUAGGCGGUUUGUCGCGUCGGGAGUGAAAACUCAGGGCUUAACCCUGAGCCUGCUUCCGAUACGGGCAGACUAGAGGUAUGCAGGGGAGAAUGGAAUUCCUGGUGUAGCGGUGAAAUGCGCAGAUAUCAGGAGGAACACCUGUGGCGAAAGCGGCGCACUGGGACCAUAACUGACGCUGAUGCGCGAAAGCUAGGGGGAGCGAACGGG